AACUCGACUUCCAAGACAAACGCUCCGUGGUUCUGGCCGUCCUUGACCUGGUGACUUUUGACCUUCAGGACUACUUUUCCGUAGUUCUGGCUGUCCAGGUCCUCCACCUGAUGGAUCUUGACAUCCAGGAAAAGUGCUCCGUAGUUCUGGCUGUCCAGGUCCUUGACCUGGUGACUUUUGACCUUCAGGACUAUAUUUCCGUAUAACCCGUGGUGGAUAGCGGUGGUCGUUGGAGGUGGUUAGCGGUGGUUGAAGAGGGUCGGAGGUGAACAAGGGGGAGGACGACGAGGAAGACGAGGAGAACGAGAUGGACAAAGAUGACGAAGAUUUGUGCACGUAUUCGAGGUAUAACCCGAGGUGGUUUGCAGUGGACAUUGGAGGUGGUUGGCGGUGGUUGCGGCCGAUAGAGGUGGACGAGAAGGAGGAGGAUCAGAAUUAAAGUAGAAGAAGGAUCAGGAGUAGGAACAGGAGUAGGAGUAGGACUAGGUGUAGGAUCAAGAGGGGAAGUGGGAGUGGGAGUGGGAGUGGGAGUACCCUACCCUACCCUACCCUACCCUACCCUACCCCACCCUACACUUCCCGCCCCUACCCGCCUCCUAUACUCCUACUUCUACUUCAAUCUUACUGCUACUUCUACUACGAUCUUACUCCAACUCCUGAUUCUACUUCUAUUCCUACUCCUACUCCUGAUCCCACUCCUAUUCCUACUCCUAAUUCUGAAUAUUAAUGUUAUUGAAUAUAUGUAGUAUAAUGAUAAUAAUAGGUUUGAUGCUAUUAAUUUUACUAAAGAAAGAUUUGCAGUGACGGCAGGUUUGAAUUUUACAGAAGUAUUUCUUUAUUAUGACAAAGUGACAAGUACAUCUUUACAGUAGUCCCGAUGGUCUUAGGCUGACUUUUUUAGCUAUUAGGUACAUGCAGGGCCUCUUGGCCUUUUCUCACCCCCACCCUCAUACCCUUACUUAUACUUUGUACUCCAUACUUCAUACCUGGCUCUCUCUCUCGCUCUCACACGACUCGUAUCCAUCUCAAUUAUACAAUACUUUAGUGACCGAGACUCACCAACUAGCCACGUUUCCUCAUCUGGCAACAGCAUGUUGGAUAGCCUUUGUCACAACAUAAUCCUUAAAUUUACGACACUUAGAAAUAAACACAACCUUAUCUUUACUUUAAAAUAUAAACUUAACAUAGAGAAUAUUCUUUACUCCUACAUAUAUGAACUGCAUGUCGAAUUGAAUCCCAUAUCGAAACGAACAAUUCUUUUAUUGUAAUAUUAUAGCCGAUUCUAGUUGAUAAUCUCGUAUGUUUCCUAGAAAAUUAUAAAAUUUGUAGUAUGCAUCACGUAUUAAUCAUAAAUAAAUCAUAUAUAUCAAUGUCGUACAUGGACCGCAUAUACAUUUAUACUUUUUGGUCUCUGCAUCAUUAUUGCAUCUGAUCUAUUUUUAUUCAUGAUCUAUGUAUAAA
Molecule: long non-coding RNA, 1461 nt
Filed under: Neodiprion lecontei (redheaded pine sawfly)
Lineage: Eukaryota; Metazoa; Arthropoda; Insecta; Hymenoptera; Diprionidae
Description: uncharacterized LOC124292719
Source: RNAcentral